Molecule: ribosomal RNA, 433 nt
Filed under: uncultured bacterium
Lineage: Bacteria
Description: partial 16S ribosomal RNA
Rfam family: Bacterial small subunit ribosomal RNA
Source: RNAcentral
AACGAACGCUGGCGGCAUGCCUAACACAUGCAAGUCGAACGAGACCUUCGGGUCUUUUGGCGCACGGCUGCGUAACGCGUGGGAACCUGCCCUUAUGUUCGGAAUAACUCCCCGAAAGGGGUGCUAAUACCGGAUAAUGUCUUCGGACCAAAGAUUUAUCGCCUUUGGAUGGGCCCGCGUUGGAUUAGCUAGUUGGUAGGGUAAAAGCCUACCAAGGCGAGGAUCCAUAGCUGGUCUGAGAGGAUGAUCAGCCACACUGGGACUGAGACACGGCCCAGACUCCUACGGGAGGCAGCAGAGGGGAAUAGUGGACAAUGGGCGAAAGCCUGAUGCAGCAAUGCCGGGUGAGUGAUGAAGGCCUUAGGGUUGUAAAGCUCUUUUACCCGGGCUGAUAAUGACAGUACCGGGAGAAUAAGCUCCGGCUAACUCCGUG